GAUGAACGCUGGCGGCGUGCUUAACACAUGCAAGUCGAACGGAAAGGCCCUGCUUUUGUGGGGUGCUGGAGGGGCGAACGGGUGAGUAACACGUGAGUAACCUGCUCUUGACUUUGGGAUAACUUCAGGAAACUGGGGCUAAUAUCGGAUAGGAGACCCCGCUGCAUGGUGGGGGGUGGAAAGUUUCGGCGGUCGGGGAUGGACGAGCGGCUUAUCGGCUUGUUGGUGGGGUAGUGGCUUACCAAGGCUUUGACGGGUAGCCGGCCUGAGAGGGUGACCGGGCACAAGACGCCUACGAUACGCCCCAGACUCCUAUGGGGGGCAGCGGUGGGAAAUAUUACACAGUGAGCCGGAGCGUGAUACGACGGCGCCGCGUGCGUAAUGACGGCUUUCUGGUUGUAAACCGCUUUCGCCUAUUACGAAGCGUGAGUGACGGUAAUGGAUGAAGAAGCACCGGCUAACUACGUG
Molecule: ribosomal RNA, 468 nt
Filed under: uncultured bacterium
Lineage: Bacteria
Description: partial 16S ribosomal RNA
Rfam family: Bacterial small subunit ribosomal RNA
Source: RNAcentral